GCGCAGCAGUCGCGAAUACUUUACAAUGUGUGAAAGCACGAUAAGGGAACUCUGAGUGCCUCCUAAGGAGGCUGUUCAGGUGUCUAAAAGCACCUGAAGGAAGGGCUGGGUAAGACCGGUGCCAGCCGCCGCGGUAACACCGGCAGCCCAAGUGGUAGCCACGUUUAUUGGGUCUAAAGCGUCCGUAGCCGGCUGGGUAAGUUCCUUGGGAAAUUCGGCUGCUUAACAGUCAAGCUUUCAGGGAAUACUGCCCGGCUUGGGACCGGGAGAGGUCAGAGGUACUCCAGGGGUAGGGGUGAAAUCCAUUAAUCCUUGGGGGACCACCGGUAGCGAAGGCGUCUGACCAGACCGGGUCCGACGGUGAGGGACGAAGGCUAGGGGCGCGAACCGGAUUAGAUACCCGUGUAGU
RNAcentral lists this ribosomal RNA (409 nucleotides) under uncultured microorganism. RNAcentral's name for it is "bacterial SSU rRNA". It matches the Rfam family "Archaeal small subunit ribosomal RNA", at positions 330 to 745 of the family's 1478-position model. The record is from RNAcentral.